RNA transcript from Bactrocera dorsalis (oriental fruit fly), 2340 nucleotides. RefSeq lists it as uncharacterized. The record is from RefSeq and is a predicted model, not a curated record. Lineage: Eukaryota; Metazoa; Arthropoda; Insecta; Diptera; Tephritidae. The transcript is spliced from 4 exons.
UUUCGCAAUCGAAACUCUCGUGCUCGUGCUCACAUUUCUGCGCUCUCACAUCUACUGCUCUCAUACAAUUUACGGGUGUGUCCGCCUGUUUUUAGUGUUGUUGUUGCAAUUAAACCGGUUAAUAGCUGCGAAAAUGCUAAAAGCAUACACGCAGACUAACUGAGAGCGCCACCCAACACCCAAAGAGGUGCGCGCCUAAGCUCACACGAAGUGCUCACGCAUACUCUGCCGAAAUAUUUGUGGCUGUUUGCAUGCGUGUGUGUGUGAAAUACAUGUACGCCACCAACGCGACAAUCCAACGCUAUAACACAAAGCAUUUACGCUCUCAUUUCUCGCGUAGUAGUCGCCAAGCUUUGCUAAAACGCUAGGCAGCAACGAGUAGCGAACGUCACUGGCCGCAUCAGUCGACAUCAAAUGAUGAAACUGUGCUCAUCUCGCAGCAACUCCACUCUGUUGAAUGUUGUGAUCGAUCAACGACUUAGAAUUGACACCUGUCGAUAUCUAAUGGAAAUUCAGUCGCGUCGUCUAGCGGGAGAAUAGAACAAAAUUCUUACACAAAAAAGUUGUGUUUGUCAAUUGACGUCAGCGUUCACCUCGCCGAAAAUUGAAUUAAAAAUUUAAACGCUUCGCAUACAACAAAUAGCGAGCACAAAACAAUCGUGAAAAAUAACAAAAAUAAAGGCAAAAGCGUUAAACAAGUAAAAGUGGAAGCUAAAGCAAACGAAAAAAUAUAGAAUUUUAAAAUUCGAUACAAAUCGGCUAUUUGUGGCACACGGGCAUCCGGUGGAAAUCGCAGAAAUAAAAAAAAAAAAAAAUGGUUUGCACAAAAAAAUAAAAUAAAUAACAACACAGAAAAAACAAAAAUAAUAUAAAAAAAAUAACUCUACGAAAAAAUUUAAAAAUUGUUAUUUAUACAUAUAUAUACAUAUGUAUGUACAUAUAUGUAUAUAUUUUUAUACUAUAUAAACACCUAGGUAAAUAAAAAUUGCGUAAAUCAACGCAAAAUAAUUUGAAAACGAAAGUGUCAUUGAAAAGUUUUUGAUAUCUACUCAAAAUUACACCGAAGCUGGUUAGACCUGUUCCUACAUCUAUGGAGUUUCAUCUAGACAGUGCAGAAUACUGCCAAGCACAGCACAAAUAAAAAGGAAAAGAGUUUGCAAAACAGCGUAAGAAACGUAAAAAGGACGAGAGUUGGAACUUGUUGGAAGCGCGUCCAGUUGGGAGACAGUUAGACAGGAGAUAGCAGUGAUAGCGCGCGGUACGGAAAAGCAAGCGAGAUUUAGCGUAGAAACAAUUUUCGAAUUUUCUUUAAAACAACAAAUUAAUUGGAUUUUCAAACAAGUGUUGGCUGAGGCAGUAAGAAAGAGAUAGAGAGCAACUACAAAAAGCGCGCAUAUCAGAAGAAUUGGUAUAUACAAAUUCGGUUUUAGCUAAAACAAAAAAAACAAAACAAGCAAAAGAAAGCAAAAAAGCAACGAAAAAUAGCUGAUUAAAUGACAGAAUUAUUGCGAAAUUAAAUUGUUGUACAAUUAAAGAGUUAUUGCUAUACAAUUAAAGAGUAAUUAAACUCCAACAACUAAAACGCCAAUAGGGAUUUCGUAACGGCUGAAAAUCCGGCAGGUUUUGUGCAAACAAACAACAACAAAAAAGCAAGCGACAGCUGCAAAGAAAAACUAUUUUUGAAAAACUUUUUUCUAAUUACUUUUUUGUGAUAAUUUUUAAGCUAAAAAUAUAUAAAUACCAACAACAACUCAUAACUCCCAAAAACAAAAACAAAAAACCUACUAAAAUAUUGUACUUAAUUUUAAAAUUUUGCGCUAAUUACAAAACAAUUUCCGUAUAAAAGCUUCAAUUUGCACAUUAAAUACUUAAAUUAUAUUUAUACAAAAUAUUUACAAAAACAAAAAACCAACAACAAAAUUAAUUAGCAUAAACUGCUGCAAGUGUUAUACACACAACUUCCGAUUUAUUGAAAGCAAACAAGAAGAAAGCAAAGGAAAUACAAGAAAAGAGAAUAAAAUAAAAUUUGCAGUCCAGUUUUGUGACAGAGGUUUUCAUUCUAUACACAGACUUUGGAGCGAUCACUGUUCAAUUUGUAACAAAAGCAGUCGACUCGCCGCAUCCAAAGCGUAAAAUUUUACAAAACAGCAGAACCGCAAAACCUAACCUACAAAGUCAAGUAAAAAAACACUUAGACAAAAACAACAAAACACCUCAGCGCUUGAAAGCAAAAGACAGCCGCAGAGCAUAAAGAGUAAAAGUGUGGAGCGUGAGCGCUAAAACAACAACAAAGUACUUCUACAACAAAAAAUAUUAUCUUUAAUACCAAAAAAACAACAA